RNAcentral lists this long non-coding RNA (615 nucleotides) under Ananas comosus (pineapple). RNAcentral describes it as "long non-coding RNA (ACOM_LNC021384)". Lineage: Eukaryota; Viridiplantae; Streptophyta; Magnoliopsida; Poales; Bromeliaceae. The record is from RNAcentral.
AAAAAAAAAAGGAAAAAAAAAAAAAGAAAAAGAACCGAUCGUCACUAGAGCAAAUGACAAAUGACUUGAUAAUUGAUAUCCGAGACCCAAAUUCGAAUUCUAGUUGAUUCACAUUUCCAGCUAAAUUUAUUUCUAAAUGAUAUAAACGAAACGGAUAGCAUGCUACCUAUCUCUCUCUCUCAAAAAAAAAAAAAGGGAAAAAAAGAGGGGCAAACUUUAAAUGCCACUCAUAUGGUUUGGCAUUUUUUUCUUUAAUACUAUAUGGUUUAAAGUGUAUUAAUUUAUUACUAUGUGGUUUUAUUUUUCUUUUUUCGUCAACUCUUUCGUUAACAUUUCGUUAAAUUAUAUAUCAAAAAUUUCAGAUACUCUACCUAGGUUUAUCGAAUAUUCACUUUAGUAACUUUUUAGUUUUAACUUUAUUACUCAUUUAACGAAAAAAUUAGUAGAAGGGAUAAUAAAAAGAGAAAAAGAAAACCACAGAAUACUAAAUCGAUAUAUUUUAAACUAUAGAGUACCAAAGUGAAAAAGUGUAAAAUCAUAGGGAGGGUAUUUGAAGUUUUCCCAAUAAACAAAAUUGGAACAUUACUUUCUAAAUUUUAGCAAUUUUUUUAUUUC